GAAAAUCUGAACAGGUUCACUGGUCGAAUAGUCAAGCCACAGAGCCUACAUUGGAGUAUUCGGACCAGCAAAUCUUCAUCAUUCACACUGACAGCCCGGUGCAAGUGCUCACUACUUAUGGGCUCUCCUGGAGAAAUGAGAUGGAAGGCAGUCAUCCAGAACAUCAGAAAAGGAGACUGCUUCCCGCCAUCGUCCUCCUGUGGCCUUCAGGGGAUCAUCUUCAGGAAGGCGCUUGGCUAUUCCUGUUAAGUAUAUCUUACAUUUCCUACUCACCUGCUUCUUUUACCGAAAAUGACCUUGUUUUCACAUAUUAAGAGAACAUUUUGACUGACCUAAAGCUUGGGACAUUUCCAAGUUAUACAGUAUUGCUUUGUGAAUGUUACUUUGAUAUUUGGAAAUAAUCCUUUCAGAUUUCAUAAGACUUAAUAAAUGUCUCCUACAAGCAAGGAAAACCUCAGCAAUUGUCACAAUAUGCUAGUUUUAUUUGCCAAAGAGAUGUUAAACUACUUGGAAAAAAAAAAAAGACAAAGUGCUUUAACAUUUGAAAUUAAAAUUUUCAGUUCUUCCCAGGAAUGUGACUUACAUAUUGGCCUUGUCUUCUCUGAGCUUCUGGGGGCAGAAGGGCUUCGACCCACAGGAAGGUGGGGAGCACCAGGAGAAAAGCCAAUUAGGGGAGAGAGCUUGCCAACCAGCGAAGACCCAGGAGGAGUCCAGAAGCCUAAAAGAACAAUGGGCCACAGCCGGGGAGGAGGGCAUCCUUUGUACAGGGGACAUCAGCUCCACAGCGAAGCCAACAGGCAGGCGGGCAGCACAAGCAGAGGGAGAAUAAAGGGCUAUGUAGAAGCCACCCAUCUUUCUAGGCGUUUCUAGUUUCAUUUGUUCUUUAUUCUACACCUUCUGAUUUUAAAAAGUAUCACAAUUAAGCUUAAAUGAAAUAACACCAAUGAAGCACUUCGAAUAGCACCUGACACAUCGUAAGUACCCAGCACACAACCUGUUGUUGGGGGUGACAGU
This 1014-nucleotide long non-coding RNA is filed under the name Homo sapiens (human). RNAcentral's name for it is "HSALNT0169769". Lineage: Eukaryota; Metazoa; Chordata; Mammalia; Primates; Hominidae. The record is from RNAcentral.